GGAAAGUUGCAAAGAACUUUGAAGAGAGAGUUCAAGAGUGCGUGAAACCACUGGAGUGGAAACGGAUAGAGUUGACGUAACUUGGCAACAUUCAGCCUUGCCCUAACGGGUGGGGUGCACUUGUUGUCAGUAUGCGCCGAGUCGGUUGGCGGUGCGCGUUAAACCUGGCGAUGUUGCCCUCUUGCUAGGUGUCUUGUCGCUGGGGUAGACGUGUCGCUGCUAAUCGUAUUCGGUGUGCAAGUCGAUCACCUAUCCGACCCGUCUUGAAACACGGACCAAGGAGUCUGGCGAAUGCGCGAGUCAUUGGGUGGAAAACCUAGAGGCGCAAUGAAAGUAAAGGUCGGCUUCGGAUCGGCUGAUAUGGGAUGCGUGGUCUUGGACUGCGUCGCACCAUAGCCCCAUCUCGAUGGCUUGCCAUGGGGUGGAGGUAGAGCGUAUUCGCCAGGACCCGAAAGAUGGUGAACUAUACUUGAGCAGGGCGAAGCCGGAGGAAACUCCGGUGGAGGUCCGUAACGAUUCUGACGUGCAAAUCGAUCGUCUGACUGGCGUAUAGGGGCGAAAGACUAAUCGAACCAUCUAGUA
RNAcentral lists this ribosomal RNA (582 nucleotides) under Parasitorhabditis obtusa. RNAcentral describes it as "eukaryotic LSU rRNA". It matches the Rfam family "Eukaryotic large subunit ribosomal RNA", at positions 358 to 949 of the family's 3401-position model. The record is from RNAcentral. Lineage: Eukaryota; Metazoa; Nematoda; Chromadorea; Rhabditida; Rhabditidae.